Molecule: ribosomal RNA, 408 nt
Filed under: uncultured Diversispora
Lineage: Eukaryota; Fungi; Glomeromycota; Glomeromycetes; Diversisporales; Diversisporaceae
Description: partial 28S ribosomal RNA
Source: RNAcentral
GAGAGUUAAAUAGUACGUGAAAUUGUUGAAAGGGAAACGAUUGAAGUCAGUCAUGCUAGUGAAAAUUCAGUUUGACGGGUUUUGGGUUUAGGAGUAAGAGGUAGGGUUAAACCGUCUCUCUUUUAAACUUGGGAUUUGUCGGAUGCACUUUUUCUUUGGCAGGUCAGCGUCGAUUUCGGGGGUUGUAAAAUACUUGGGGGAAAGUAGCUCUGCUUCGGGAGAGUGUUAUAGACCUUGGGAGAUGCAGCCCGUGGGAUCGAGGAUUGCAGCAAAUGCCUUUGGCUUGUCUUCUGAUCUUUGGUUGUUACCUCGUUUAUGACAACAUUCUUGUCAUCGAUGAGUUCUAAUGGUUAUGGGUUAGAAUGAUCAAAAAUUUGCUAAGGAUGCUGACGUAAUGGCUUUAAACGA